CCACAAUACAAUUACUUCACAAUGCUGGAUACAUCGAACAGACCUGUACACAAUUAAGAGCUUGUUAUUCUUAAAAAAAGUAAAAAAGUAAAAAAAAAGUAGAUUUCGUAGGCUUUCUUCAAGUUUAUUGUGGAAUGGAAGGCGGCUACUAUCUUGGCCAACUCGUGCUCAAAACCCACCUACAUUAACAAACGACGAAAGGAUGCGAUGGGACAAGGAUAUCGAAGCCGUAACGGGUCAUUGCUUUGCUUUAUUUGGGAAUUGUGGUGUGGAAGACCUCUAUUUUUCCGAAAAAUCACCUCUGGAGGGAAUCUUCGAGUCUAUUAGUCGUUCGCGAAGACUGUCGCGGGGAAGAUCGGCGCCAUUGAAUUCUUCGGUUUAGAACGAACGUCUUUCGAUUUCUUCCAAUGGUUCCAGACAAGGUGAUGGCGCCAUAUUUGAGCAGCAAUAAAUCCGGAAUAGCAGUCCAUGAGCUCCUCAACGGAUCCUGGUUGGCCGAUACACAUUAGAUCCUUGUACACAUACACGUAUUGGAUUAUUAUUAUUGAAUUGGAAAUAUUAUUGGAUUUAAAUGGUAAACGUCACAAUUAAAGCAAAUAGAAACA
Molecule: small RNA, 605 nt
Filed under: Drosophila ananassae
Lineage: Eukaryota; Metazoa; Arthropoda; Insecta; Diptera; Drosophilidae
Description: GF27224
Source: RNAcentral